UCCCUGGUGGCUCAGAUGGUAAAGAAUCUGCUUGCAAUGCAGGAGAUCCAGGUUUGAUCCCUGGAUUGGGAA
Molecule: transfer RNA, 72 nt
Filed under: Bos taurus (domestic cattle)
Lineage: Eukaryota; Metazoa; Chordata; Mammalia; Artiodactyla; Bovidae
Also listed under: 3 other names
Rfam family: tRNA
About the family: Transfer RNA (tRNA) molecules are approximately 80 nucleotides in length. Their secondary structure includes four short double-helical elements and three loops (D, anti-codon, and T loops).
Source: Rfam by way of RNAcentral